CGGGGUCCUGGAGGCUCGAGGGGCGCAGAGGAAGAAGGAGGAGCUGGAGGAAGCGAAGGGAAGGGGAGGGGAGCGCAGGGAAGAGGAUUUUCCCAUCUCCUGGUGUUUUUUUUUUUUUUUUUUUUUUUUUUUGGAGGAGGAAGGUUGCUGCUGCUAGUGGCAGCGUUUCCUCCUGCUGGAAGAUGAUAAAUACAUGAGGAGAGAGGCUCUGAGCCUGCUUCUGUGCUGCGGGAGUGUCUCUCUCCCUCCCUCCCCUCUCCCUGCUUCUGUGUGAGUGUGUGUUUGGCUGCCGGGCUGUGUGUGCGUGUACACUGUGUAUAUAUAUCUGAGCUGGGAGGUUAUUGCAAGCUUCUCUCAGCAGCGCUCCUCUGUACAGGAAGACGGGCUCAGCUGCAGUGGUAGCAUCAACAGCAGCAUUAGCGGCACCAACUGCUUUAUUCGCCUUUCUUCCUUCCCUUCAUCUCCAUCUCCCUUUCCCCUCCCUCCUCCCACGUUUUUAGGGGAUUGAUCUUCAUUUUUUUUUUAUUAUUAUUUAUUUUUCUACUCUACAAUCCUUGUUAUUUGAUACUUCGUGGCUUUUUUUUUUUUUUCUUCUUUUUUUCCUUUCCCCCUUUCUCUGAGAAGGAGGCACAGAAAUAAACACGCACAAACACAGAGAAAUAAGGGAAAGAAAAGUACCGGGACUUAUCCUGCUGCUGCAAACCCAAAGAUAGCAGACGAAGAGGGGGUUUGGCUUCUACCCCAAGGUAAAGCCCUGCCCCCUUUACCUCCUCGACACCUCCUCCGAGGAAGAGAAGGAGAGAGAGAGAAGGGGGCCAAAGUGGAGAAAAGCAGGUCUUCUGCGGCUGGCAUUUGGAGUACAGGGAGCCAGGAAGUGAAGGAUGGUUGUGGUUACCCGAGCUGGCUGCAGGGCAGCUCUCUUCCUCUGGAUUUUCAUCAGCAUUAGCUGCAGAGCCAGGACUGCUCUGCCUGCAUCUCAGCCAAGUGUGGGCCAUCUGGGACACACUCCUGUGCAAGAGACAAGGAACAAAAUUGCUACUGGGAAAAGAAUGGAGCAAUGAAUAUCAUUCUGGGGUAGAGACUGUGCUUGCUUUUGGUUAUUGGCUGAGUAGUUCCAGAAUGGUGACUAGGACUUUUUGGUACAAUUCUCAAGAAGUCUGCUGUUCUGUCUACCUGCUGCUGCUGCUGAAUUUAGACAAUGUUAUAGGUAUUUUUCUAUCACUUCAGCACAUCUAUGUGUCUUAGAAGAGAAAUGAAAGGCAUAUUUUGAUUACAUAAAUGAGUAUGGGAUGCAGUGCUUAUGUGUUGAUCUUGAUAAGUACUACAGUGCAGGCCUUCAUGACUUUUGCAGAUGUUUGAAACUAGAGUCAGAACCCUAUUUCUUUGUUUUUUUUAUCAGAAUAUGUGUAGGAGAGUUGAAAUACACUUUGAGAACAGAUGCAAUUAAGAGUAUUUUGGGUGAAACGGCCUAAAAACCUGUAUCUGCUGCCACUUGCUUGCAGACAUCAGUUGCUGCUACAGAAGGGUAGGUCACCACUGGGUGACAUAUCACAUCUAUAGGUCCAAGGCUGAUGCCUCUGAACAGUGGCGUUGGAUAACCACAGUUAUAUGUGUCAAUAGGACCCUACUAAAUAUUCUGUCAUUAUAUUUCAGGCUUAGUGCAUCAAAUUUUUCUCCAAAUCUUUAUGGAAAAAUAGAAGUUAAAUACUGUGGUUCAGAUUUUUCAAAUUUUUCAGAUUUUCAGAUUUUUCAUAAUACUGAUAGACAUGCCCAGUAACAAACUAUUGUUCAAGAUAAUUUCUAUUUAAUUAAGGCUGAG
Molecule: long non-coding RNA, 1819 nt
Organism: Zonotrichia albicollis (white-throated sparrow)
Lineage: Eukaryota; Metazoa; Chordata; Aves; Passeriformes; Passerellidae
Source: Ensembl